Non-coding RNA from Physcomitrium patens, 2198 nucleotides. Lineage: Eukaryota; Viridiplantae; Streptophyta; Bryopsida; Funariales; Funariaceae. The record is from RefSeq and is a predicted model, not a curated record.
UCGGACAACGCGUGUGGAGCUAAUCCAUCCAGAUGUGCAGAUGUGUCAGUCUAGUGGAGAUUACCAGUAAUACUGAGAGCGAUGCUGUUUCUCUGUAAAAUCCUUGUGAAUGAUUGGAGAGCAGAUUGAAAUUCUUAAACGCUCACUACGUCCAUCUAUUAUUCAAGCAAGGUCUUUUGGGUAUGGCUAGUCCUCUUCUGGGAAUCAUACCAGGCCCCACCCCCCAGUUCUGAGUAAAUUCUCGACAUGGAGGGCUAUAGCUGCAUGCGCCCAUGUCAAAUAAUUCUAGUUGUUUAGGGUUAUUCUGACAGAUCUGUUGGACUAGUAUCAAAUGCAUCCAAAAGAGUCUCUGACCUCUUGGUGAUGAGAUGACGUGUAAAUGCUGUGAAACUGUCGUUCUCUUCACAACUCUACAUGAUUGUGCAAUGCUGCGCCGCUGAAACAGGGUCCUUCGGUGGAAGCAACUUUAGAAAUGAGGUGGAAGUUGGUCGAAGUGAGGCGCAUGGUUUCAGAACAUAAUUUGAGCCUACACACGUCACACACGCUUCACAAAUCUCUUUUGCUAGUACUGGGAAUGCUUCAUACUCUAGUAGCUAUUACUUACUCGAUCAUUUCUAGAUCUUCAAAAUAGUGGACUGCGAAGCCUAGGAAUCGCACAGAACUGUUAUGCUGAUGGGUCUUAGUUUCGUAGCUUAAAAAAUUGUUGGUAUAACAAUCCUGUGCGUCUAGCUCACAUCGAGAGUUUAGAGUCUUGUCGAAGCUUUCAAAUGCUGUCAACGCCUUGUCUCAGGCUCUUAUGUUUGUGCGCACACUGUUACUUGUUGACAGGUUGGACAAGUCUAAGUCUAGCUGCACACAUCACCAUACACGCCUUGUCCUCAUAGCUACAUACAGGCACUACUCCAUUGAUUUGCUAUGUGUGUUCCGUGCUGAGCAUCGUGCCUCAUAUCAAUCCGUCGUGCACUAUGUUAUAUUGCCACCGAUCUUUCGCAAAUAGCGUAAAUGGUGAAGUUUCCUUCUUCGACCGAUUUCUCUUUUCAUUCUUGUCUUUUGUGUUCCAAAACCUCCAACUCCUUGCUUCAAGUUGAGAUCAAAGAGGAGCGUAAAUCAUUUUCACCUGCGCUGGAGUUGUGACCUUCAGAUCAGCAUGUUGAAGGUGAAGUUGGAAUCCGCUGCUGCGAUGCUUCUUUCUCUCUUCGAGCUCAUUCAAGUUCUCCUUGGAAUUUUGCUAGUAUGUGUAUGCGUCCGAGUGGUGUCAUAUCUUGAACACAAAGCUGCGAAGCGUUCUCUGACUCUCAUUCCCGUCUCCUUCAUGUAUUACCUUACUACCCAGCUCUGCUUUUCCUUGGUUCUGGUCACGUGCUUGUUCCGGUUCCUUGGGCUGCAGCAAUAUACCGCAUGGGGAAUUCUUUCACCAGUGGUAUGUGGACACUAGCAAAGUAGGCUCCAUGGAGUGGAAACGCACUAAAUGAGGAACAAGAAGAACUCCAAGACAUUCGUCUCCGUUGCACGCCACCGAAGGAAUUACUUGGCUUGCCCAGCAGCUCGACCAUUUUCUCCUUCAUGAAAGUUGCUGAAAAGUUACAAACACACAAGAAAUGGCGAAGCAAUCAACAAAGUGGAACCCCUGGGGAAACCGUCGGUAGUCCAGGCUUAUUCAUAAGAUUUCCCACCAAGAGCAUAAAUCUUCAAGUUGAUAGACCUUGGCAUUACUCAAUCGAAAUCAUUACGCUUUAAUGUACAAAACGAUAGAAAAUGAACGUCAAAUCAUUCACUGACUGUACAAGCUCCAUGCAGCGGAAAAUAAGACCACUCAACUUCUGAGCAUCAGAUAAUAAGACACAUGUUUUCAGACAAUAUUCAUGAGCUGCUCACAUUCUUGCACAUUCUGCUCGAACGUCACACUUGACAAACAGUUAGCAGUUCUAGCUUUCUCUAUUCAUAUCAAUCCUGAAUUCCAGUGAUCACUCAAUAGCAAAAAUGUUGUUGCAAUUGUUGAGAGCAUUAAAUGUAGCCAGUGCUCUCCAUAAUAUUUACUUUAGUUUAUAGUAAAACUGUUGUAAACUUUAGCUACAAUUUUUGGAAUGUAGUGGGGAGAAACUGUUUAUUUUCUUCUCUUCUCUUUGUAUAUGAGAAAUAAUCACAUCAAUAUACUCUCUCUAAUGUGUGUGUGUAUUUGUGCACAUUACUUCUAACUA